Molecule: non-coding RNA, 1087 nt
Organism: Callorhinus ursinus (northern fur seal)
Lineage: Eukaryota; Metazoa; Chordata; Mammalia; Carnivora; Otariidae
Source: RefSeq, a predicted model, not a curated record
GACGCCGGGGGCCGCCGGGCCCGGGCCGGCCGGCCGGACAAAGGUCUCGCGACACUUGCGGCCGGGGAAGGGAGGGCGGCGAGCCUUCCGGGUCCAGACUUACAGCCGAUCCAGCAGUGAGACAGAGACACAGACUGGACUUGGUUUAGGAGGACCCAUGAUGUCAAGACUCAGACGACACCACCUAAACCCCCUGGUCCCCAAAUGUGACAACUAGCACAAUACAAGGAAGACACCGUCAUCUGAUCACAUGAACGCCAAGAAGGCAACAGAGGCUGGUUCCCAAACAACUCCUGUGCAGAAAUGGUGUCCUGCAGACAUCCGUAAGGGCUGGGCCAGCGCGGAGCAAGGACGCCUCCGCCCUAAACUCUGUGCACAGUCAUCAAAAAGAACUGUUUAUGCAGACUUAGCAAUGAUCAGUAAAAGGCUGUGAAAUCAAUGCAGAGGCCAUCCCGGCUGGGGCUCCCACAAGGGUCCGUCACACAGGAGCAGCACCCCGCUCUCCGCCCCCGACACUCUCACUUCAAACCUCCCCACUCCGAAGCCCCCACUCACAGGAGCCAGCAGUCAGCAGCCCCCGCUUGUCCCCUCCACUGCGCUCUGGGUCCUGCCUCCACUGCCCGGAACCAUGCCUUCUCCUCUCCCCCCAUCUUUGGGCUGCUCUUCUCCACACUCCCCUUCCCACCAGCACUUACAUCCAGCCACGUCUCUGCUGCUUGAAAUGGAGUAACAAAUACAACGGCUUCCUCCGGCCAAAUCCACCUGCUGCCGUGCCCGCACAGCCUUAUUUGUGGGGUGGGCAGUUGCCAUGGCCCUCCCCACACGCACCUACUCACUGCAAUCCAUGGCUCCCUAAAAGGCUCCCCAAACUGCCUUCAUCCAAGGCAUUGAGCACGUCCUUCCAAGAUCCUAAAGCCAACACAGGCUAUCACUCUUACUCAGGCCCUAAUGUGGAAGACUCAUUGGGAUAAGCACAGAUAUCACUCUCUAUGGUGUGUUUGACACAUCAAACUUCUUCCAGGAAACUCCUUAUGAGUUAAAAAUUGACAGAGGAUUGAAUAAAUAAAGCUCCUUCGGAUUAAAGAAA